CGCGGGAUGGAGCAGCUCGGUAGCUCGUCGGGCUCAUAACCCGAAGGUCGUCGGUUCAAAUCCGGCUCCCGCAACCA
RNAcentral lists this transfer RNA (77 nucleotides) under Ruminococcus sp. Its description in RNAcentral is "tRNA-Met". It matches the Rfam family "tRNA". From Rfam's summary of the family: Transfer RNA (tRNA) molecules are approximately 80 nucleotides in length. Their secondary structure includes four short double-helical elements and three loops (D, anti-codon, and T loops). The record is from RNAcentral. RNAcentral also lists the same sequence under 3 other names. Lineage: Bacteria; Bacillati; Bacillota; Clostridia; Eubacteriales; Oscillospiraceae.